This 232-nucleotide ribosomal RNA is filed under the name uncultured Streptococcus sp. RNAcentral describes it as "partial 16S ribosomal RNA". It matches the Rfam family "Bacterial small subunit ribosomal RNA", at positions 1153 to 1382 of the family's 1533-position model. The record is from RNAcentral. Lineage: Bacteria; Bacillati; Bacillota; Bacilli; Lactobacillales; Streptococcaceae.
AGGUAAUAAACCGGAGGAAGGUGGGGAUAGACGUCAAAUCAUCCAUGCCCUUAUGACCUGGGCUACACACGUGCUACAAUGGUUGGUACAACGAGUUGCGAGUCGGUGACGGCGAGCUAAUCUCUUUAAAGCCAAUCUCAGUUCGGAUUGUAGGCUGCAACUCGCCUACAUGAAGUCGGAAUCGCUAGUAAUCGCGGAUCAGCACGCCGCGGUGAAUACGUUCCCGGGCCUU